CAGCACCUCAAGUGGUCAGGAUGAUUAUUGGGCCUAAAGCAUCCGUAGCCGGCUCUGUAAGUUUUCGGUUAAAUCUGUACGCUCAACGUACAGGCUGCCGGGAAUACUGCAGAGCUAGGGAGUGGGAGAGGUAGACGGUACUCGGUAGGAAGGGGUAAAAUCCUUUGAUCUAUUGAUGACCACCUGUGGCGAAGGCGGUCUACCAGAACACGUCCGACGGUGAGGGUUGAAAGCUGGGGGAGCAAACCGGAUUAGAUACCCGAGUAGUCC
RNAcentral lists this ribosomal RNA (270 nucleotides) under uncultured archaeon. RNAcentral describes it as "partial 16S ribosomal RNA". It matches the Rfam family "Archaeal small subunit ribosomal RNA", at positions 477 to 747 of the family's 1478-position model. The record is from RNAcentral.